UAGAUUCUAAAGUUGGUAUUUAAAAUCUUGGUAGCUAAUUAGAUACCAAUUUAGAAAAUAUUUAUCAAUAAUAUAAAAUAAUUUAGAUACCAAUAAUUUUGUUAGUCUCUAAAAUACUAUCUAAUUUAGUCAAUAUAGCAACUAAUUAUUUUUUGUCUCUUAAAUUGAUUUCUAUUUAGUGAUUUUCUUGUAGUGGAUUAUUGAGCAAAAAUUCUCAAAAUAUAACUUUUGCAUUAUGAGAAGUUUUGCUACAUGAUUUUGGAUUUUAAUUAAGUGUAUUGAAUAAGACAUACUUCAUGUUGUGUUUUCUAUAAUAUCUCUCAUCUAGUUUACAAGUUUUCUUCCCACCUGCAUAAGUCUUUGCUGCACACGGUGAUUUUACAAUAAGAAAAAAACUUUCAGGCAAAGUAGCAUAAAUAUCAUCCAUCUAAUAAUGUGCACCAGAGCCUAUGUCUUAUUUAUUUAACCUACAAUAAUAAGCACAUUCAACAUGAACAUACGACAACACCUACACAUUAAUGACAUUGUAUAAUCACAGAUUUUAAGCAAAAAUUUGAGUAUUACAUUAAAUCUGAGUAAGAGAAUGUGUCAUUCAUACCCAGAAAUAGAGUUGUGUCAUACAGAAUAAUUCUUCAACAUCAACCUUAUUGUUCUUAAAUAUAAUUUUAUUCCUGUGAUUCCAAAUCCUCCAGAACAUAGCUACCCACAUCUCUUUCCAUAUUUUAUUUUGUUUUGCAUUUAGUUCAAAUAAAUGGAAUUUUUGAAAAUGUUACAUUAAAUCCAUAUGUUGUACUAAUUGAAUUACAACUCAUUUAUCACACAUUUAUCAAACAUAAUUUGAUUUCUUACACCCUACAAUGACAUGUGUUAGAGUUUCAUCUUCAAAUUGACAAAAUACAUAAAAAAAAGUAUUAGAUAAUAUUAUCAAUUGUACUUUAGUAGGCACUCUCCCCUUCACUAAUCGCCAAACAUUAUGUUGAGUAGCAUGAAAACACUUGAGCACUCCAUAAAGCAGGAAAACAAAUCCACUAAGUAAACCACUAUUAUCCUACAAACAAUCAUAAGUUGACUUUUCUAUAUACUCCCAUUUUCUUCCUCUUCUAAAUUUUUACCCCUAAUAUUUGCAAAGAUUUGCUUCCUGUUGUGUUUUCCAGACAAAUUUCCUACAUCUCCAUCCUAAGUUCCACUCCCAUGUUUGCUCAUCUCACCUCCCUAAUCAAAGGUACCUGAGUAGUCCCUACAUCAUUCCAAAACUUAACCUUAUUCUUUUUUCCAAUCUUCUAUUAUACAUUAUUAUUAUUGAAUUAGUUCUUGUGGUGGUUCUUUCCACAAACCUUCCUUAAGUCUACAUUCGAAGUGUUAGAUUGUGAGUUGGUUGACUAAUGUAUUGAAUUAUUAUAAUUUUUUUUUUGUUAUGUUUUGAAAUGAAAACAUAAGUGAUAUGAUUAUUGUCCAUUAUAAUCACAAAACAACUAUAAUAUUAGAUUUCCAUUCCUAGACAUGGAAGUAAAUGAGUACGUGCUAGAUACCAAUACAAGCAAAUUAUGGGACCACAGAUUUUCAGCUUCUUCUUUCUCCAUUUUAUUACUUUUUUUUUUCUUCUUCCAUCAUAUCUAACCCAUUAGUUACCCAAUCGAAUAGAACAGAGAAAAUUGGAAACAAUUUGAAGAAGGAAAAAGAGCAAUUAAUUACGUACAUAGCAUUCAAGUCUAUAUAGUCGUAGAGAUUAUCAGCGUUAUGGAAAUAUCCAUAUGCUCGACAAUGUUUGAUUAAUUUUUUAAAAGUAAGUUAAUUGAGAAAAAUGGCGUCCAAACAAUAAUCCUCACAACAACAUUUGUUUUAUGAAUUGUUGAGUAAAUAUUUCUAUUUCUACAAUAUUCAAGGGUAAAGACACUCUAAGGAUCAAGUUGUGGUGAAUAUAUAUUUAGAUUACGGGUAUUACAGUUAAUUGCUGAUUAAAAAAAAUGGGUAUUACAGUUAGAAAAUCAUUACCAUUUUUAUUUGGAGUUUUCAUUUAUUUAUAGUUUUUUCCUAUGAACCUGAGGAUUAUCGUAGGUUUAUGAAGGUUUAAUAUUUUUCCUAAUCCGGUUUAGGAUGUGAUUAGUUUUGUUGUACUCAAAGAUGAGUUAUUCUUUGGUGUGAUUCAUGUUUGGAUCUAAUGACCGAUAUGUCGAUAAUACCAUUCGGUACUCAAAGUAUAAGAAUCACUACAAGAAAAUCAUGAAAUAGAAACCAAUUUUUAAAGACCAAAAUAAUUUAGUCACAAUAGUAAUUAAAUUAGAGACCAUUUUAGAAACUAAAAAUGGUUUCUAAAUUAGUUUCUAUUAUUGUUAAAUAGUUUCUAAAUUGGUAUCUAAUUAACAACCAAGGUUUUUGUUACCAAAUUUAUAAACUAAAGAAUUGGUAGUUAAAACAUUGGUUGCUAAUUAGAUACCAAUUUAGAAAUUAUUUAACAAUAAUAGAAACUAAUUUAGAAACCAUUUUUAGUUUCUAAAUUGGUCUCUAAUUUAGUUACCAUUGCAACUAAUUAUUUUAGUAUCUAAAAAUUGGUUUCUAUUUCAUGAUUUUCUUAUAGUGAAUGAUUAGAAAGAGAUUUGAUUUGGUGGGUUGUUUUGGUGAAUGAAUGAUUGGCAAAAAUUUAGGUGUGCCUGGUUGGUGAAAACAGAAUGAGCAUGUGUGUAGUGCGUUGUUGUGUUUUAGUAGAAAAAAUGGAUACAACCACUAUGAUGUGAUAAGAGAAGAGAUAUAAAAACAAAUGAAAGCUAUAUAAAGUAUCUUUCAAACAAAAAGUAUAUGAGUAUUAUUGUAUUUUUUUGGUUCCAAUGUCAAAUUUUUCAAAAGUCAUCAUAGCCUUUCUUUUGCUCUAUUGCUUUCUGAUGGGUUCCAAGUGAGUAAAUUCAUGGUGUGGAAAGAAGAAAAUAAUAGCAAAAGGAAAACUGAAACAAUGAGAUAGUUUUAUGAUAACUUACUUUUAUUUUAAAUACUUUUUUAAUUAAACACUCUUUCAUAAUUAUUUUUUUAAAAGUAUUCAUUUUAACCCGUUUUAGAUAGGACUAAAAGAAAAACUCUCUUUUUUCAAAUCACCAAAUUUUUUAAAAAUUAAUUUUAAAUUUUGAGAAUAAAAGUAACUUACUAUAUUUAAGAGACUAAAAUAUUUUCACCGAUUUCUAGGAUUUAUUUAUCUAAUUCCAAAUAAAAAAAUUAAUUAAACAACCUCAUAGUCAAUGACGAAAAGAAUAUUUAAACAAAUUUCAUUCUUGUAAUAUAGUUAAUCUCAUUUUAUUUUCCUAUAUUACAUUUAAUGAUUACCGGAAAUGGAAACUUAAACUUAAUUACAUCACAUGUUUGCUUGCUUACUCGGCGAGACCAAAUAACCGUUAAUUGUAUAUCUUUGUUAAAGUUUAUUUGACAUUAAUUUUCUUUUUUACUUUCACUUUACAACCCUUUUUUAAUAAUAAAAUAUUAUGUUUUAUAAUAAAAAUUAAUAUAAACAAAAUUUAAAAAUAAAAUAAUAAUAUAUUUAAUUAUCAAAUGAAUAAAGAUUUCAACUUAUCAUUGUUAUUCAACUAUAUCAGUUAGGCUAGGCUAAUAGAUACGAAGUCAUUGAUAUAUACAACCCUAAAAAUAAUAUUGGGUUAUUCAAGUUGAAAAAUCACAGAGAUUUGAUUCUUAGUUGAGUAAACUUAUACAAGAAAUUGAUAACACUUUUAAUCAUAAAACAAUAAGUUCGUAGUCUUUUUUUCUCCUAUAUUUAUUCAUCUAAUAUAAGAUUCUGUACUCCUUACUUUAAUUUAUGAUAAAUAGGUCUGGAAGGACAGUAAGACAAUAGUGUUUUCAGUCAAGUCUGCUUACGAGAGCUAUUAAAGAGAGAAGGAGAAGAGAAAAAUUCGAGAUUUUACAAAUGUUUCUGGAGGAUUAAAGCGUUGUCUUCGGCUCAUGUCACAGCUUGGAGGGUGAUUGAAAACAAGGUAGCCUCCAAGGUAAAUUUGGUGAGACAAGGGAUACAGAUUGAGUGUAAUCUUUGCAGCUUAUGCAGGUUAUUAGAGGAGUCAACAAAUCAUUUAUUCUUCGAUUGCAGGAUAGCUUGGCUAAUUUGGAACCUAUGUUAUGAUUGGUUAGGAAUGAAUUCGGUUGAUCUUAUCAUUCCUGGGUCACAUUUUGAACACUUCAAAAUUUUGGAUGCACCUAAUUUAGUUAAUCUUACUAUGGGUAAUAUUUGGAUAGCUUUGGUCAGUGAGAUUUGGAGACAUAAGAAUAAUUGUUUGUUUAAAGGAGGAGUGGUUGAUCAUACUGAAGUUUUUUCUCUGGCACAGGUCAAGGUUUGGUCUUGGAUCAACUCAAAGAUACUGUCAGUAAAUUUCUCAUUCUCUUAAUAGUGUCUUGAAGCCUUGGUAUGUAUGUACUCGAUUUAAGGUUGGUGCAUUGUUUUUUUUUUUUCUUCAGUUAUUAAUCUAUAGAUACGAAGGUGAAAGAACUUUUAUCUUUUAUUCUCUGUAUGAGAAUUGGAUCACCCUUUAAUUAAACCGAUUUAAUUUAAUUGUUUAUUGCCGAUAAAAAAAAUUCACAUAGUCCAUCAAAAAUAAUUUAUGACCCCGUUAUUUAACAUUUAAUUAUUCUAAACAAAAUCAUAACUUGGGUAUCUAUAGAUUGAUGCGAACAUACCUAGCAAGGUUUUGCCAUACUUUACCCUACACAGCAACACUGAGAUGAAGUAUGCAUACCCUAUUCUCUGCUAAAUUUGGUAACAAGUAAACAAGUUAGAGAAUAGAAAGACAUGCAAGUAAAACUCAUCAUAAUAUUAAGUUGCAUAUUUUGGAUGAAUGGAUUAAUGCCCGUAUUUUGAUCAAAUUGUCUCACUUCACCGCCAACCAGACAAUUUUAGAAGCCUUUGCCACCGCUGGGAGAGUCCACGUACGUAAUAGAUUUCGGAAUCAACCAAUGCCUUCGCAUUGUCCAAUCUCCACCCGGACAUGCUCGUGGAUCUCCAAUAACUGAACAUUCUUAAAGCUCUUUUCUAUGGUGUUCAUCUUCAAGCUCUCUCAAAUGGGGGGGUAGAGGAGAGGACGAUGGGUUCGGUUCAUGCAAUUCACUUGUUUUUCUGACCAACAAAAUAGAAGUAAAAUGGAGAGUGGGAGGGUAGUUGGUAUGAGGCACAUGGCUUUUUUUUCUCUGUGAUUUCAGAGGAUUGUGCAAAAACGAUAAGGGUAAGGAAGGGAGGCUUAUGUGGGGUGUGUUCUUAGAGUUUACUAGGUUGAGUUGAGAGAGAUUUGCUUGGUGAUUAUGCAGGCUGUGUGAGUGUGAUGAUGAAGAGAAUCACAGUGGGUAGGUGUAUUUAUGGUGGUGUGAGACAAGUGCUAGC
Molecule: long non-coding RNA, 5359 nt
Filed under: Phaseolus vulgaris (common bean)
Lineage: Eukaryota; Viridiplantae; Streptophyta; Magnoliopsida; Fabales; Fabaceae
Description: long non-coding RNA (PVUL_LNC000093)
Source: RNAcentral